GCCUGAUGCAGCGACGCCGCGUGAGGGAUGACGGCCUUCGGGUUGUAAACCUCUUUCGCCAGGGACGAAGCGCAGGUGACGGUACCUGGAGAAGAAGGACCGGCCAACUACGUGCCAGCAGCCGCGGUAAUACGUAGGGUCCGAGCGUUGUCCGGAAUUACUGGGCGUAAAGAGCUCGUAGGUGGUUUGUCGCGUUGUUCGUGAAAACUCACAGCUCAACUGUGGGCGUGCGGGCGAUACGGGCAGACUGGAGUACUGCAGGGGAGACUGGAAUUCCUGGUGUAGCGGUGGAAUGCGCAGAUAUCAGGAGGAACACCGGUGGCGAAGGCGGGUCUCUGGGCAGUAACUGACGCUGAGGAGCGAAAGCGUGGGGAGCGAACAGGAUUAGAUACCCUGGUAGUCCACGCCGUAAACGGUGGGUACUAGGUGUGGGUUUCCUUCCUUGGGAUCCGUGCCGUAGCUAACGCAUUAAGUACCCCGCCUGGGGAGUACGGCCGCAAGGCUAAAACUCAAAGAAAUUGACGGGGGCCCGCACAAGCGGCGGAGCAUGUGGAUUAAUUCGAUGCAACGCGAAGAACCUUACCUGGGUUUGACAUGCACAGGACGUGCCUAGAGAUAGGUAUUCCCUUGUGGCCUG
RNAcentral lists this ribosomal RNA (637 nucleotides) under Mycobacterium sp. Se3Ps_2667. RNAcentral's name for it is "bacterial SSU rRNA". It matches the Rfam family "Bacterial small subunit ribosomal RNA", at positions 381 to 1030 of the family's 1533-position model. The record is from RNAcentral. Lineage: Bacteria; Bacillati; Actinomycetota; Actinomycetes; Mycobacteriales; Mycobacteriaceae.